RNAcentral lists this ribosomal RNA (505 nucleotides) under uncultured bacterium. RNAcentral's name for it is "bacterial SSU rRNA". It matches the Rfam family "Bacterial small subunit ribosomal RNA", at positions 9 to 526 of the family's 1533-position model. The record is from RNAcentral.
GAGUUUGAUCCUGGCUCAGGAUGAACGCUGGCGGCGUGCCUAAUACAUGCAAGUCGAGCGAACCACUUCGGUGGUGAGCGGCGAACGGGUGAGUAACACGUAGGUGAUCUGCCCAUCAGACGGGGACAACGAUUGGAAACGAUCGCUAAUACCGGAUAGGACGAAAGUUUAAAGGUGCUUCUGGCACCGCUGAUGGAUGAGCCUGCGGCGCAUUAGCUAGUUGGUAGGGUAAAGGCCUACCAAGGCGACGAUGCGUAGCCGACCUGAGAGGGUGAACGGCCACACUGGGACUGAGACACGGCCCAGACUCCUACGGGAGGCAGCAGUAGGGAAUCUUCGGCAAUGGGCGAAAGCCUGACCGAGCAACGCCGCGUGAAUGAUGAAGGCCUUCGGGUUGUAAAAUUCUGUUAUAAGGGAAGAACGACUUUAGUAGGAAAUGGCUAGAGUGUGACGGUACCUUAUGAGAAAGCCACGGCUAACUACGUGCCAGCCGCCGCGGUAAUUC